AGAUUUACUUCGGUAAUGACGCUGGGGACGCGAGCGGCGGAUGGGUGAGUAACACGUGGGGAACCUGCCCCAUAGUCUGGGAUACCACUUGGAAACAGGUGCUAAUACCGGAUAAGAAAGCAGAUCGCAUGAUCAGCUUAUAAAAGGCGGCGUAAGCUGUCGCUAUGGGAUGGCCCCGCGGUGCAUUAGCUAGUUGGUAAGGUAACGGCUUACCAAGGCAAUGAUGCAUAGCCGAGUUGAGAGACUGAUCGGCCACAUUGGGACUGAGACACGGCCCAAACUCCUACGGGAGGCAGCAGUAGGGAAUCUUCCACAAUGGACGCAAGUCUGAUGGAGCAACGCCGCGUGAGUGAAGAAGGUUUUCGGAUCGUAAAGCUCUGUUGUUGGUGAAGAAGGAUAGAGGUAGUAACUGGCCUUUAUUUGACGGUAAUCAACCAGAAAGUCACGGCU
Molecule: ribosomal RNA, 450 nt
Filed under: Lactobacillus helveticus
Lineage: Bacteria; Bacillati; Bacillota; Bacilli; Lactobacillales; Lactobacillaceae
Description: bacterial SSU rRNA
Rfam family: Bacterial small subunit ribosomal RNA
Source: RNAcentral